Molecule: unclassified non-coding RNA, 375 nt
Filed under: uncultured bacterium
Lineage: Bacteria
Description: contains 16S-23S intergenic spacer region
Source: RNAcentral
UCCGGUUUGUCACCGGCAGUCUCAUUAGAGUGCCCAACUGAAUGUAGCAACUAAUGACAAGGGUUGCGCUCGUUACGGGACUUAACCCAACAUCUCACGACACGAGCUGACGACAGCCAUGCAGCACCUCUCCAAGCGCCCCGAAGGGAGACCCUCUUUCAAGGGCUGUCACUUGAAGUUCAAACCCAGGUAAGGUUUUUCGCGUUGCGUCGAAUUAAACCACAUGCUCCACCGCUUGUGCGGGCCCCCGUCAAUUCCUUUGAGUUUCAUUCUUGCGAACGUACUCCCCAGGUGGGGUGCUUAAUGCGUUAGCUACGGCACUGAAGGGGUCGAUACCUCCAACACCUAGCACCCAUCGUUUACAGCGUGGACUAC